Molecule: ribosomal RNA, 392 nt
Filed under: uncultured microorganism
Description: bacterial SSU rRNA
Rfam family: Archaeal small subunit ribosomal RNA
Source: RNAcentral
GCGCACCAGGCGCGAAACCUCCGCAAUGCGGGAAACCGUGACGGGGUCACCCCGAGUGCCACCCGAUGAGGGCGGCUUUUCCCCGGUCUAAAAAGCCGGGGGCAAUAAGCGGGGGGCAAGUCUGGUGUCAGCCGCCGCGGUAAUACCAGCCCCGCGAGUGGUCGGGACGUUUAUUGGGCCUAAAGCGUCCGUAGCCGGCUCGGUAAGUCCCUCCUUAAAUCCACGGGCUCAACCCGUGGGCUGGGAGGGAUACUGCCGGGCUAGGGGGCGGGAGAGGCCGAGGGUACUCCCGGGGUAGGGGCGAAAUCCGUUAAUCCCGGGAGGACCACCAGUGGCGAAGGCGCUCGGCUGGAACGCGCCCGACGGUGAGGGACGAAAGCUGGGGGAGCAAA